RNAcentral lists this long non-coding RNA (265 nucleotides) under Elaeis guineensis (African oil palm). Its description in RNAcentral is "long non-coding RNA (EGUI_LNC023980)". Lineage: Eukaryota; Viridiplantae; Streptophyta; Magnoliopsida; Arecales; Arecaceae. The record is from RNAcentral.
UGUCAGAAGGAGAGUACUGCGGUGAGAAACUUAUCAAGUAGUAGCACCUACUUCAUUGGUGUGGAGGAGCAAUUGUGAGGUUAUUGGUAGACUUGUUUAUUGUUUGCCCAUACCAUUAAGUGUACUUGUUUGGUCUCCAAUUGAAUGCUAGGUGAGGAGGGGUUUGAUAUAGAAAAAUAGAAUGCCUUUUAAUGCCAUCUUUCUAGAUUGAUGUGGUUAGGUCUCUAUCACUUUAAGACUCAGAGAUCAUCAGUUUACUCCCUUG